UACGUAGGUCGCAAGCGUUGUCCGGAUUUACUGGGCGUAAAGAGCGCGCAGGCGGCUGGUCAAGUCCGAUGUGAAAUCUCCCGGCUCAACUGGGACACUGCAUCGGAAACUGAUCGGCUUGAAGGUGGGAGAGGGUAGUGGAAUUCCCGGUGUAGUGGUGAAAUGCGUAGAUAUCGGGAGGAACACCAGUGGCGAAGGCGACUACCUGGCCCAUUCUUGACGCUGAGGCGCGAAAGCUAGGGGAGCGAACGGG
Molecule: ribosomal RNA, 253 nt
Filed under: uncultured bacterium
Lineage: Bacteria
Description: partial 16S ribosomal RNA
Rfam family: Bacterial small subunit ribosomal RNA
Source: RNAcentral